Molecule: ribosomal RNA, 459 nt
Filed under: uncultured bacterium
Lineage: Bacteria
Description: partial 16S ribosomal RNA
Rfam family: Bacterial small subunit ribosomal RNA
Source: RNAcentral
CCUACGCGUGGCUGCAGUGAGGAAUAUUGGUCAAUGGACGAGCGUCUGCACCAGCCAAGUAGCGUGAAGGAUGACUGCCCUAUGGGUUGUAAACUUCUUUUAUAUGGGAAUAAAAUGUUCCACGUGUGGGAUUUUGUAUGUACCAUAUGAAUAAGGAUCGGCUAACUCCGUGCAAGCAGCCGCGGUAAUACGGAGGAUGCGAGCGUUAUCCGGAUUUAUUGGGUUUAAAGGGUGCGUAGGCGGGUUAUCAAGUCAGCGGUAAUAUCGUGGAGCUCAACUCCAUCCAGCCGGUGAUACUGAUGAUCGUGAGUGGGCGAGAAGUAUGCGGAAUGCGUGGUGUAGCGGUGAAAUGCAUAGAUAUCACGCAGAACUCCGAUUGCGAAGGCAGCAUACCGGCGCCCGACUGACGCUGAAGCACGAAAGCGUGGGUAUCGAACAGGAUUAGAUACCCGAGUAGUC